This is a long non-coding RNA of Mauremys reevesii (Reeves's turtle), 945 nucleotides long. RefSeq lists it as uncharacterized. The record is from RefSeq and is a predicted model, not a curated record. The transcript has 3 exons. NCBI's taxonomy places the organism in Eukaryota, Metazoa, Chordata, Testudines, Geoemydidae.
AGCAAGAGCAUCCAAGCGACCCCCCCCCCCGUCUCUGCAGCUCGGGCCCCCCCUGCACCAGCCGCCCCUCCGCGCGCGCAUGCAAACAGCGCAGCCACGACUGCGGGCGAGCGGGCAGGGCCGCAAACAGGAUCCACUCGCGCCCGCGAGCACGGGUGGGGCGCUGCGCCGCAGGAGGCACAGGGCCGCCCCCCAGGACCUGCCCGCACGCGACGGGGCUGGGAGCCCUACCAAAAAGCUGCUCAACUAUCUGGCCCUUUUGCCCGGAUUCUGCAGCCCCCCCCCCCCCGUCCUCGCCCCCGGCUUUAUUCUGUCUGAAUGGGAGCCCGGUACUUUUGGGAGCAGUGGGGGAACCGCAGGGUGGAGGUUGUCCUUGAACCUGUCCCUGCUGCACCGCUGAAAAGGUCUCGAAACAUCGGGCUUGUCGGCAGGCACGGCUCCCGGCUGUUCCUAGAGAGGACACAGCAGGCAAGGGCAAGGCUGCCCACGUAGCCCGGGAGGAGCGGUCUAGAAAACGCUAACAACGAAAAAAAUAAAUAAGCCUAAACCCAGAGCCUGCCGGAAGUGAAGAAAACGACCUUAGCCUUUGUAACUAGCGUGGGAGGUGAUAUGAACUGGGAAAAGGGAAGAGGACAAAUUGGGGAAGCACACAGAUACUAUCGUGAUGGAUGCUAUAAAAAGCCUAAGCUAGACAGCCAGAGCCAUGCUUGAGUUGGGGGAAGUGCACUCUAUUGCUAAGGAAACAAACUUAGCAACUGAGUAAAUAUAAAGAGAGAAAACUCCAGUCCAACUGGAUUCGUCCAGAUGCAGAAACGGGGCAUUCUGAAGAAAAAAAUUGAGCAUUGUGGGCUAGUUUGAGGCUACAGAAGAGGAAAUGUGUGAACUUGUAUAUAAUGAAUUGGUGACCAACAGUGCCACUGGUGCACUAUAAACCAGAGUGGACAC